This is a non-coding RNA of Lupinus albus (white lupine), 156 nucleotides long. The record is from the annotation of a GenBank genome assembly. Lineage: Eukaryota; Viridiplantae; Streptophyta; Magnoliopsida; Fabales; Fabaceae.
UAGCUACUAUGAUAUUGGCUUGGUUCACUCAGACAAACACACCCAGUUUUAGCUAUUUUAUUAAAAAAAUAUGCAAAACUAACAGAAAAUGGAAAACUUUUCUGUGGGUUUUGGUUUUGGUUUUGAUUGAGCCGUGCCAAUAUCUAAGUGCUAUUU